CAGAGAUUUAAAGGCAGACGGUUACUUUGACAUGUGCAGCGCAAGUGCAAGUAUGUCGAUGUUGACAUGGUGAAGGCCAAUUCCUGGCUCAAGGUGCCUGACCUGAUGCACAACUAGACUUUAAAGAUGGCGCUGGUAUCAGGCAUCAUGGGAAAUCCUGAUGCUGGUGAAUACUUCUGUUAAGGGCAAGAAGGAAGAUAUAAGGAGCAGUCACCAUAGGGGCUUGGUGCACAGUUAAUGAGAAGAACUCAGCUCAUGUCAGGGAACAGCAGGCCGUCGGGGGAGUGAGUACAGCCACCCACACAUUAACUCAUCACAACGAUUGGAAUCAAACCUGGCCUACACCCCCAUUCUGAAUUGAGAGGAGUCAUUGUGCUU
Molecule: long non-coding RNA, 378 nt
Organism: Stegostoma tigrinum
Lineage: Eukaryota; Metazoa; Chordata; Chondrichthyes; Orectolobiformes; Stegostomatidae
Exons: 3
Source: RefSeq, a predicted model, not a curated record